This 460-nucleotide ribosomal RNA is filed under the name uncultured bacterium. Its description in RNAcentral is "partial 16S ribosomal RNA". It matches the Rfam family "Bacterial small subunit ribosomal RNA", at positions 338 to 795 of the family's 1533-position model. The record is from RNAcentral.
CCUACGGGUGGCAGCAGUGAGGCAUAUUGGUCAAUGGACGCAAGUCUGAACCAGCCAUGCCGCGUGCAGGAAGACGGCUCUAUGAGUUGUAAACUGCUUUUGUACGAGGGUAAACGCAGAUACGCGUAUCUGUCUGAAAGUAUCGUACGAAUAAGGAUAGGCUAACUCCGUGCCAGCAGCCGCGGUAAUACGGAGGAUCCGAGCGUUAUCCGGAUUUAUUGGGUUCAAAGGGUGCGUAGGCGGUCAGGUAAGUUAGAGGUGAAAGCUCGAUGCUCAACAUCGAAACUGCCUCUGAGACUGUCUGACUAGAGUGUAGUUGCGGAAGGCGGAAUGUGUGGUGUAGCGGUGAAAUGCUUAGAUAUCACACAGAACACCGAUUGCGAAGGCAGCUUUCCAAGCUAUUACUGACGCUGAGGCACGAAAGCGUGGGGAGCGAACAGGAUUAGAUACCCGGGUAGUC